CUGGGUCUUGGGAGUGCAGGGGCAGCUGCAGGCAGGAGGGCAGGAGGAUUUGAGCAGCUGGGCUAAGGUCAGGCACAGAGGCUUGGGCUCAGCAGACAGCCAAAUGCUCGGCCCAGCUGCUACUGCCUCUUUCUGGGCCCUGUGCAGGAGGCAGACGCUGGCUGCCAGGCUGGCGGGCUCCCCUCCACGGCUGCAAGGCCACCCAGGCCCAGGGGUCUGCUCUUCCCUCUCCUCCUGCUGAAUGGCAUUCUUUCCUUUUCUUUCUCUGUCUCCUCACUCUCCCUUUCCUUCUAUUCCUUUUCUCCCUCAUCUCUUUGUGUCUUCAUUUCUGUCUUUGUCUUAUCCUAUGUCUCUCUUCUUUGUAUUUUUUCCCUCCCUCUCUCAGUUUCUUGGCCUCUCUUCAUCUCUCUGUCUCUGGGUUAAAAGUUGUAGGAAAAGGAUAGGAGGUGGGGCCCAAGAGGAAUCCCAGAUGAAACUGAGCUGAGCUCCUACUACGAUUUCAAUGUCUGUGUUUCCCCAAAAUUUAUAUGUCGAUCCCUAAUCUCCAGUGCAAUAGUAUUAGGAGGUGGGGCCUUUGGAAAGUGACUAGGUCAUGAGAGUGGAGCCCUCAUGAAUGCAACCAUAAGAGAGGCCUGAAGGAACUGUUUGCACCUUCUGCCAUGUGAGGUCAUAGCUACAAGGCGCUAUCUAUGAAUGUAUGAACAAGAAAGUGGGCUGUCAUCAGACAUCACACCUGCCACCACCUUGAUCUUGAACUUCCAGCCUCCAGAACUCACCUGGCAUGACAGUAAAUUCAUGCAUAAAUGCCCAAGGUCACAGAGCUGGGAUGAGAACCCAAGGCCUUCAGAAUGUCCAUCAAACUGUCGCUUCCUGACCUCUCGAAAUCACAGAAGCAAGAUCAGAUUCUAGGACUGAAAGGGGAAGAAACAGAAUUCUCCCUCUGAUGCCGA
RNAcentral lists this long non-coding RNA (950 nucleotides) under Homo sapiens (human). RNAcentral describes it as "HSALNT0164943". Lineage: Eukaryota; Metazoa; Chordata; Mammalia; Primates; Hominidae. The record is from RNAcentral.